This 85-nucleotide transfer RNA is filed under the name Felis catus (domestic cat). It matches the Rfam family "tRNA". Rfam says of the family: Transfer RNA (tRNA) molecules are approximately 80 nucleotides in length. Lineage: Eukaryota; Metazoa; Chordata; Mammalia; Carnivora; Felidae. The record is from Rfam by way of RNAcentral.
GCCUGGGUGGCUCAGUCAGUUAAGCGUCUGACUUCGGCUCAGGUCAUGAUCUCACAGUUCGUGGGUUUGAGCCCCACAUUGGGCU